AGGCAUGCUUUGGCCCAAGGGCAUCGUCCUCUCUCUAUGAAUGUAGUGAGGACCAGUAAAAGCAUGCUAGAUUAACAGUCAAACAUUCGGGAGUUAACAGGGCCACCAGUCUUUCAAGUCCAGGCUGAGUUGGUAGUAUAAUACUCCCACAAUA
Molecule: small nucleolar RNA, 154 nt
Organism: Girardinichthys multiradiatus
Lineage: Eukaryota; Metazoa; Chordata; Actinopteri; Cyprinodontiformes; Goodeidae
Product: small nucleolar RNA U109
Exons: 1
Source: RefSeq, a predicted model, not a curated record